Molecule: long non-coding RNA, 3004 nt
Filed under: Eucalyptus grandis
Lineage: Eukaryota; Viridiplantae; Streptophyta; Magnoliopsida; Myrtales; Myrtaceae
Description: long non-coding RNA (EGRA_LNC005087)
Source: RNAcentral
GGCUCUCACUUUUGGAUUCAUUUUUCUCUCUCCCUCCGGCGCGGACUCAAAAACUCUCUCGGCUCUCUCUGCAAAAGGGGGGCCGAACGGUUUCUCUCUCAGGAAAUGGAGCUCUCUCUCUCUCUAUAUAACUGCUCGAUGGAGCUCCCAUGGUAGAUCUCAAAACCCUAGCCUCAGACAAUCCUGAGAGACAUCCACCAUUCCUCGCGAGAGAAUCUCCGCCUUGCUCGCCGUCCACCGAAGGGAGCUCCCACCUCCGUCUCUGUCUCCGGCAGUUCUCUAUCGAACUCCCGGCUUCGCUCCCGCUCGAUUCCUGAGAUCUCCGGACCGUCUCGAACCCUAGAAGACAAAGCAGAUGCCGAUCGAGUAGCUCGAAGCGCGAGACUCGGAUUCAUGCCGAGUGUAGAGCGGUAACGUUCGGUUCGGUUUCAUCCGUUCGUCAUCCACCACCGGGGUUUUCUCUCGGCUCUGUCUCUGGCUUGAUCAAGUUUUCUCUCUCUCUUAGAUCGUUCUCUCUGGCUCGAUCAUGAUCUGUAUGUGGAAAACCGCUAGGCUUUGGUGUUGGAAGUAGAUCAGGAUUUCUGUUGUAGAGCAGAACUAGUUGUGACUGGUUUUCAUGGUCAAAAUAUAAGAGUAACGUUGCUGCGAAUGUUAGUCAUGUGAGGGCAAAAGCUGAGGGUUUGAAUAAACAAGUAUGGGUCAUUAAUUCAAAAGUGGAGAUCAAGAACUUUAGAGUGAAAACAUCUUAUUGAGGAUGUACUAUUGAUUUGAUCUUGCUUGGAUGAUGUUGUGCUCACAUGAUUUUAAGUUGCUGAUUUGCCCUCGCGUUUUGGUCACUAAAAUGAGAUGUCUGUCAUAUGUUUGUGAAGAUGCCUGAAUGAAUAUCUGCGUAGUGUCUUCAUCAGUCCAUAUGCAAGAUAUUCAUAGCUUACUUAAAUCAUGAUGUCUAAAUUGAUUUCAUCUUGCUUACUAUCGAUAUAAUCAAUCUGAGCAAUUUUAGCAUUAUGGCAUGCUUAAAUCCGUGCUCAUUGGCCUCGUUGAUUGUGAGUAAUAUUCUUUUUCACUUUGAACCAGAUCGAGUCUUAGAAAAUAAUAAAUCUUUAUUCUGGUCUGGUUUUAUUCAAAUUUGAGAAGUUUUUCUAGAUCAAGCAGAGAUCAAUUGAUGGGUAAAACUGACGUUUGGAGUUUGCGGAUAUGAGCAGAAAUUUAGAAAUAAAAACAUGAUUUGUUACUUUUGUCGACCCUUUUAAGGUUGUAAGGUUUGCUAUGAUUCAUUUUUAGAACUACUAUUUGAGCAUUGUCUAGAUGGUUUUAUAAACCAUUAGUUAUGCAUUAUGUUCUAAUUCAUUUGUGGCUGAUUUGUAUGUCCUCAUGAUGAUCAUUUUUCGACUAUCAAUUUGACGUCAAUUGGACUCAACUUCUCUUAAGAAGUGGGCUUGUUUUAAUCUUUCCUAUGAUGCUGAUCUCGCAUGAUUUGCAAUGAGUUGAUGAUUAUUGAUGAUGAACUUGAAGUUGAUUGAACUUGAUUUGCCUUGAUCUGCAAAUUCGUAUACCGGAUAUAUCACUUUCUGUAUUGGCUGAAACGAGGUGUUAGAUAAGGUUUUUUUUACUUCAAGCCCUUCUAGACAUAUAAAAUACACUUCUAGAGCUUCAAUUUGAUAUGUUGCAUGCCCCUAAACGGACGUUGUUCAGUCAUCGAAAAACAUCUACAAAGUCUGUCAAUUCUACAGUAGUUUUUAGGUUGAUUUGCUGUUCUGCGAUUUUCUAUUUUAACUGGACUGAGCUGGUAUAUGAUGUUAUUAGGACUUAAUUUCUUCUAGAUAUUUGUAAUAGACUUCUCAAGCUUUCCAUAGACAUAUUAUAUGUGCAAUUUGGCCAUCAUUUGCCCUGCCUGAUGCUUCUUACAAAGAGCACUAAUCUGCUAAUGUGUUUUGCUUGUUAUGAUCUGAUCUGACCACUUAUUCAAAUGGCUUUGCUUGAGCUAGAAAAAGAUCUAAAUUGCAAUUGUCACCUAAUAGGAAUUCGUAAAGGACACUUGAGCUUUCUAACGAUGCCUAGUUUGUCCAAUUUGCCCAUCAUUUGCCCUACUUUUUUUUUUCUUUUAGAUCAAGUUUUGAAGUCUGUAUUUGUCUUGACCUGCAGUGUUGUCUUGUCUCUAUGAAUCUGACUGUCUACCAAUUUUGUGUGAUCUUAUACGUAAUGAUCUUGAGGAUAAAUUCUCAAUGAAAGCUGUCCAUAAUAUUCAUAUCCAUCCCAUGCUAAAAUUUGAGAAUUUUUAAGGUCAAGUAACCUUAGGAUUCAAGUUGACAUGUAGCAAUUUAAAUUGUUAUGCAUUUUGCUCCUAAUGACAAGUCACAUACCAAUGUUAAUGGAUUUGUGUGGCCUUUUGCACAUGGAUUUAGGGUUAAAUGUCUAAAUCAAACUUUUCUUCACAUUUAACCCUACGUCAUGUUCAAAUUUCAUGAUUUUCAUGCAUUGAUUAGGUGGCUUAACAAAUCAGUUAUCAUGCAUCAUUCUCUGAUUUGCUUAUGAUUGAUUUGCAUGCUUUAGCAAUUGUUGCUUUUCGGCCAUGAAUUUGACUUUAUUUGAACUUGAUACGCCUCAGGAAAUUCCAUUCAUGAAAGUUGCUCUUUAUAAAGUGCUUGAUUUCUGUGCUUUUUUCUUAGAGCCAAUCAUACAUGGGUUCUACCCCAAUUGCUUUGAUCUUAAAUGUGAUGAUUGUUUCUUUCACUUGUAUGCACCUAAUCAUAAAUUUCUUAGAUUAGGUUUAGAUUAGAACCCUGAAGAUGGAGAAGGCGUGAAGAUGGUGGAGGUCGAUGUCCAUUCUGACCAUUUUCAUGUAAUACCCAUUUUCCCGACAUAUGUCUCGGGCUCCAUUUGUUGUAUAAAACCAGAUGAGUUGCGGGUUUCUCUCUUUUUUUCCCAUAUAUUUCUCUUUUAUACUUUCUUUUAGGUUUGCAUGAUAGAUUUACUGCUUUUCUUGAUUGUUUACUUAAUGUCUUGC